UGGCGGCAUGCCUAACACAUGCAAGUCGAACGGUAACAGGCUCUUCGGAGUGCUGACGAGUGGCGGACGGGUGAGUAAUGCGUAGGAAUCUGCCCAGAAUGGGGGACAACUUGGGGAAACUCAAGCUAAUACCGCAUAUUCCUUAAGAGGGAAAGCAGGGGACCUUCGGGCCUUGCGCUUCUGGAUGAGCCUACGUCAGAUUAGCUUGUUGGUGGGUAAAGGCCUACCAAGGCUACGAUCUGUAGCUGGUCUGAGAGGAUGAUCAGCCACACUGGGACUGAGACACGGCCCAGACUCCUACGGGAGGCAGCAGUGGGGAAUAUUGGACAAUGGGCGAAAGCCUGAUCCAGCAAUGCCGCGUGUGUGAAGAAGGCCUGAGGGUUGUAAAGCACUUUCAGCUAGGAGGAAAGGACAAGUGCUAAUAUCAUUUGUCUGUGACGUUACUGGCAGAAGAAGCACCGGCUAACUCUGUG
RNAcentral lists this ribosomal RNA (473 nucleotides) under uncultured bacterium. RNAcentral's name for it is "bacterial SSU rRNA". It matches the Rfam family "Bacterial small subunit ribosomal RNA", at positions 37 to 507 of the family's 1533-position model. The record is from RNAcentral.